AAGUCGUAACAAGGUUUCCGUAGGUGAACCUGCGGAAGGAUCAUUACCUAGAGUUGUAGGCUUUGCCUGCUAUCUCUUACCCAUGUCUUUUAAGUACCUUCGUUUCCUCGGCGGGUUCGCCCGCCGAUUGGACAACUUAAACCCUUUGCAGUUGCAAUCAGCGUCUGAAAAAACAUAAUAGUUACAACUUUCAACAACGGAUCUCUUGGUUCUG
Molecule: unclassified non-coding RNA, 214 nt
Filed under: air metagenome
Description: partial contains small subunit ribosomal RNA, internal transcribed spacer 1, and 5.8S ribosomal RNA
Rfam family: Eukaryotic small subunit ribosomal RNA (bases 1-46)
Source: RNAcentral